CGUGAGUGAAGAGGGCGUUCGGGUUGUAAAGCUCUUUCGCAAGGGAAGAGAACCUUAGUCUCUAACAUAGAAUGAGGUUGACGGUACCUUGAUAAGAAGCACCGGCUAACUACGUGCCAGCAGCCGCGGUAAUACGUAGGGUGCGAGCGUUAAUCGGAAUUACUGGGCGUAAAGCGUGCGCAGGCGGUUUUGUAAGUCAGAUGUGAAAUCCCCGAGCUCAACUUGGGAACUGCGUUUGAAACUACAAGACUAGAAUAUGUCAGAGGGGGGUAGAAUUCCACGUGUAGCAGUGAAAUGCGUAGAGAUGUGGAGGAAUACCAAUGGCGAAGGCAGCCCCCUGGGAUAAUAUUGACGCUCAUGCACGAAAGCGUGGGGAGCAAACA
RNAcentral lists this ribosomal RNA (383 nucleotides) under uncultured bacterium. RNAcentral's name for it is "bacterial SSU rRNA". It matches the Rfam family "Bacterial small subunit ribosomal RNA", at positions 400 to 774 of the family's 1533-position model. The record is from RNAcentral.